This 301-nucleotide ribosomal RNA is filed under the name uncultured bacterium. RNAcentral describes it as "partial 16S ribosomal RNA". It matches the Rfam family "Bacterial small subunit ribosomal RNA", at positions 509 to 807 of the family's 1533-position model. The record is from RNAcentral.
CAGCAGCCACGGGAAUACAGAGGGUGCAAGCGUUAAUCGGAAUUACUGGGCGUAAAGCGCGCGUAGGUGGUUUGUUAAGUCGGAUGUGAAAUCCCUGAGCUUAACUUAGGAAUUGCAUUCGAUACUGGGAAGCUAGAGUGUGUCAGAGGAUGGUGGAAUUCCCGGUGUAGCGGUGAAAUGCGUAGAGAUCUGGAGGAACAUCAGUGGCGAAGGCGGCCAUCUGGGACAACGCUGACACUGAGGCACGAAAGCGUGGGGAGCAAACAGGAUUAGAUACCCCCGUAGUCCCUGUCUCUUAUAC